This 377-nucleotide ribosomal RNA is filed under the name uncultured bacterium. RNAcentral's name for it is "bacterial SSU rRNA". It matches the Rfam family "Bacterial small subunit ribosomal RNA", at positions 523 to 898 of the family's 1533-position model. The record is from RNAcentral.
AUACGUAGGGGGCGAGCGUUGUCCGGAAUUAUUGGGCGUAAAGGGUGCGUAGGCGGCUUGGCAAGUCCUGUGUGAAAGGUCGCGGCUUAACCGCGGUGGGUCAUGGGAAACCGCUGAGCUUGAGUGCCGGAGAGGAUAGCGGAAUUCCACGUGUAGCGGUGAAAUGCGUAGAUAUGUGGAGGAACACCAGUGGCGAAGGCGGCUAUCUGGAAGGUAACUGACGCUGAGGCACGACAGCUGGGGGAGCAAACAGGAUUAGAUACCCUGGUAGUCCCAGCCGUAAACGAUGAGUGCUAGGUGUUGCGGGUAUCGACCCCCGCAGUGCCGAAGUCAACACAAUAAGCACUCCGCCUGGGGAGUACGGCCGCAAGGCUGAA